CUCAACUCCGGGAUUGCCAUUGAAACUGUAUCACUUGAGUGUAGUCGAGGACGGCGGAAUGAGUUAUGUAGCGGUGAAAUGCAUAGAUAUAACUCAGAACACCAAUUGCGGAGGCAGCUGUCUAGGCUACGACUGACGCUGAGGCACGAAAGCGUGGGGAGCGAACAGGAUUCGAUACCCUGGUAGUCCACGCUGUAAACGAUGAUCACUCGCUGUUGGUUACCUAGUAACUAGUGGCUGAGGGAAACCAUUAAGUGAUCCACCUGGGGAGUACGUCGGCAACGAUGAAACUCAAAGGAAUUGACGGGGGCCCGCACAAGCGGAGGAACAUGUGGCUCAAUUCGAUGCAACGCGAAGAACCUUACCUAGACUCGAACGCUAAGCGCUCGCUCCUGAAAGGGAGCUUUCCGCAAGGACGC
Molecule: ribosomal RNA, 419 nt
Filed under: uncultured Bacteroidota bacterium
Lineage: Bacteria; Pseudomonadati; Bacteroidota
Description: bacterial SSU rRNA
Rfam family: Bacterial small subunit ribosomal RNA
Source: RNAcentral